This 73-nucleotide transfer RNA is filed under the name Ailuropoda melanoleuca (giant panda). It matches the Rfam family "tRNA". Rfam says of the family: Transfer RNA (tRNA) molecules are approximately 80 nucleotides in length. Their secondary structure includes four short double-helical elements and three loops (D, anti-codon, and T loops). The record is from Rfam by way of RNAcentral. Lineage: Eukaryota; Metazoa; Chordata; Mammalia; Carnivora; Ursidae.
GCCUGGCAGGCUCGGUCGGUGGAGCAUGAGACUCUUGAUCUCAGGGUUGUGGGUUUGAGCCCCACGUUGGGUG